CAGAGUCACAGAGCUGACAGACAAUGGGAGCCCCUGGAGCACGUGUGUGAACUAGGUGCCACGUGGAGACUUUUUCAGGCACUGUCUCAUUUAGUCCUUGGUUACUUCUCUCAGCCUCCUCCUCCUUUCCCACUUGGAAUUCAGAUGAGCUCAGAAACCAUCUACAGGGCUGUGAUGAGGCUUAAAGGAGUUGCCAGGUGGGAGCGUGCCAGCAGGGAGAGUGCAGUGAGCGCUUGGUAAAGGACACAUCACCCCAACCCUGGAGGGGGGCACAGAGAGAGAAGGUGCAGAACCUGCAGUGCCAUCUACAGCGCAGACUGCAGGUUCCUCAGGCUGCGGGUGAAGUGGUUCACAGCAGGCCCCAGCACCCCGCUGCAGUUCCACCUGGCCCUGCUCCCAACCACGGCACCCCCUCCAGGCGGACCGGUCCUCUUGGAGACUGCUGACAACAAGCACACUUCUGCCUCUCCCUCAAGCCUGCUGAAACCAUCUGCUGCACGGGAAUGUCCUCCCUCCUUCUGUCUAGUCCCAGAUCACACCUUGUGCAAAGCCCACCUCCAGGGCCACCUCUCCCCUCCCUUGAAGAUCUAGCUUUUACUGUCCAUCAUUCACUUUGCAUUUUAAAAUAUACUGCUUGGUAGCAUCUCUUUCAUAUAUCAACCUAUAAUCUGAAAGGUACUUUAAAAAAAAAAAGACGAGGAAAAAGGAAAGGCCAACAUCAGUAACCUAAGACGGGCAGGAGCUAUUCUCCCCACUUCUGGCUCUCAUUUGGAGAAAGAAUAAAGAAACUCAAAAAAAAAAAAAAAAAAAAAAAAAAGAUAGUCUGAGAUGGGACUUAACAUUAGGACAGCUAAGAGGUAGACAGGUAUAUGUGAAAAGCAUUGUUGCAUGGAGACUGGACAAAGUCAAGAAAUGGCCAACAUCAAAGUUGGCAUGUGUCUCUAAUUCCCUAAACUUGCAGAGAUAAGCACAUGCUAACAAGAUCUGGAAUUUCGAAUUAACAGACAUAAACUACCAUAUAUAAAAUGGGUAAAU
RNAcentral lists this long non-coding RNA (1035 nucleotides) under Capra hircus (goat). RNAcentral's name for it is "lncRNA (ENSCHIG00000001402.1)". The record is from RNAcentral. Lineage: Eukaryota; Metazoa; Chordata; Mammalia; Artiodactyla; Bovidae.